UGGGAAGUAUUGCACAAUGGCGCAAGCCUGAUGCAGCCAUGCCGCGUGUAUGAAGAAGGCCUUCGGGUUGUAAAGUACUUUCAGCGAGGAGGAAGGCGUUGUGGUUAAUAACCGCAGCGAUUGACGUUACUCGCAGAAGAAGCACCGGCUAACUCCGUGCCAGCAGCCGCGGUAAUACGGAGGGUGCAAGCGUUAAUCGGAAUUACUGGGCGUAAAGCGCACGCAGGCGGCCUGUCAAGUCGGAUGUGAAAUCCCGGCGCACAGCAUGACGAACAUGGCAGGCUAGAGUCUUGUAGA
This 297-nucleotide ribosomal RNA is filed under the name uncultured Enterobacteriaceae bacterium. RNAcentral describes it as "partial 16S ribosomal RNA". It matches the Rfam family "Bacterial small subunit ribosomal RNA", at positions 355 to 655 of the family's 1533-position model. The record is from RNAcentral. Lineage: Bacteria; Pseudomonadati; Pseudomonadota; Gammaproteobacteria; Enterobacterales; Enterobacteriaceae.